UGGCAGAAAAGAAUGGUGAGGGAGGAGGGGAGGCAUUUCUGUCACCUUCACCAAAACUGUAGAAGAGAAAAUAUAGCACUGCCCAAGAGAGUGCUAGAAACUUUGCAGAAUAUAUAUCAAGAACAAACCGUUCCUGAAAGACCAUAUGCCUGUUUUGGUAAUGAAGAAUAUUAAUCAGGUUAUUAAGAAUCUUUAAAAGGAACCAUGGACUCAGAAAAAACUUCCAUUCUUGUUAGUAAUCCCACUGUUUGUUGCUCAGAACAAUGCAACAAAUGACAACUGAGACUGGAAGAUUACGCAUCUUUACUUGCUUGUGAAAUGCCUAGUCUACUUCUUAUAGGGUGCAUCUACAUGUGCAAUUAAUGUGAUGUGAUAAACUGGUGCAGCUUGCGCCAAAGUCAGCUGCUCCUGGGUGCAGUGUCUACACAUGCGCCCUGGGACAACAGCAGUUUAAGCCAGGGCAGAGUAGCCCUAGCAGUAUGUUCAGGGGUUCAGCCCUGGGCUCCAGGUGGUGGCAUCAGGCAGCAGAGCGGCUGGCUGGGGCAUAAGAGUGCUAAAGUGUGGAGCCAUGCGGCAGGCAGUCCCUGCACUUAGCAGUGCACUCUCAUGCUCCAGCCAGCCCCUGCCACCAUCUACACGUGCGUUUCGUUGCGCUUAAUUACUCUGCUGUAAGAGUAAUUAAUAUUGGCUCACAUGUAGACAGUGAUACUUUAUGGCAGAGCUAACUGUUCAACUUUGCAGUAAAGCGCAUGUGUAGAUACACCCACAGAGUACCAAAAAGUAACAACUCCUCUGUGUUGCUGAUCUUUCAGAACUCCUGAGAAAAAUACAGACAGAGGAAAUGGGAAAGAGGAGCUUUGUAUUUACUAGGUUAGUCUGACACUUGCAGUUAAACAUCUCUCAACUAAACAUUAGAAGAAUUAUUUUGUUUGUAUGCAGUUAAAUAUCAAACCAACUCUCUUCCCACAUGAAUAGGCAUUUUAGCUCUGUUUAUAUGUUGACCCUAGAUUGUUUUGAAACUAUGCUGUACACUGGUAGCAAGAAACUUGUUACAGAAGCAUCAAGAAAGCUUUUCAAAUAAAGUUUGUCAAAUGCUACUGUUAUCUUGCUAAUGUUUCCAAGUCUCCGUCAGUUUGGUUAUGUGCUUCAUAAACGUUAUACCUGUUUCAGGACUAGUCUAUUCUGAGCAUUAGCUUAGCAA
Long non-coding RNA from Alligator mississippiensis (American alligator), 1201 nucleotides. RefSeq lists it as uncharacterized. The record is from RefSeq and is a predicted model, not a curated record. The transcript is spliced from 3 exons. NCBI's taxonomy places the organism in Eukaryota, Metazoa, Chordata, Crocodylia, Alligatoridae.